Molecule: long non-coding RNA, 253 nt
Filed under: Elaeis guineensis (African oil palm)
Lineage: Eukaryota; Viridiplantae; Streptophyta; Magnoliopsida; Arecales; Arecaceae
Description: long non-coding RNA (EGUI_LNC051359)
Source: RNAcentral
GAGGGUAGAAUGUCUAACUUGCAAGGUAAUAGAUCUGAUCUAUUGUUUAAUACAUACAUUAGAUGUAGUAUAGAAACAUGUUGAUAUGAUCAACAUGUAGUUCAUGCUAUAUUUAUAUAUUUUAAUUUUUGAUUUAAUGCUAUGUAAUAAUCAUGUAAUAAGAUCUUAGAUCUAAGGAUUCUCUAAUUUUAAAAAAUAAAUUUUGAUUUAUUUUAGUCUUCCGCUGUAUGAUCUUGAAAAAGUUUCAAGAUCU